Molecule: ribosomal RNA, 497 nt
Filed under: uncultured bacterium
Lineage: Bacteria
Description: partial 16S ribosomal RNA
Rfam family: Bacterial small subunit ribosomal RNA
Source: RNAcentral
GAUGAACGCUGGCGGCGUGCCUAAUACAUGCAAGUCGAGCGAACAGACGAGGAGCUUGCUCCUCUGACGUUAGCGGCGGACGGGUGAGUAACACGUGGAUAACCUACCUAUAAGACUGGGAUAACUUCGGGAAACCGGAGCUAAUACCGGAUAAUAUAUUGAACCGCAUGGUUCAAUAGUGAAAGACGGUUUUGCUGUCACUUAUAGAUGGAUCCGCGCCGCAUUAGUUAGUUGGUAAGGUAACGGCUUACCAAGGCAACGAUGCGUAGCCGACCUGAGAGGGUGAUCGGCCACACGGGAACUGAGACACGGUCCAGACUCCUACGGGGGGCAGCAGUAGGGAAUCUUCCGCAAUGGGCGAAAGCUUGACGGAGCAACGCCGGGUGAGUGAUGAAGGUCUUCGGAUCGUAAAGCUCUGUUAUUAGGGAAGAACAAAUGUGUAAGUAACUAUGCACGUCUUGACGGUACCUAAUGAAAAAGCCACGGCUAACUACGUG